Molecule: ribosomal RNA, 596 nt
Filed under: uncultured Actinomycetes bacterium
Lineage: Bacteria; Bacillati; Actinomycetota; Actinomycetes
Description: bacterial SSU rRNA
Rfam family: Bacterial small subunit ribosomal RNA
Source: RNAcentral
AAUAACCUGCCCUCAAUUUCGAGAAUAACCCAGGGAAACCUGGGCUAAUACCGGAUACGUAAACCUGUGGCAUCACAUGGUUUUGGAAAGUUUUUCGAUUGAGGAUGGAUUCGCGGCCUAUCAGCUUGUUGGUGAGGUAAUGGCUCACCAAGGCGACGACGGGUAGCCGGCCUGAGGGGGUGGACGGCCACACUGGGACUGAGACACGGCCCAGACUCCUACGGGAGGCAGCAGUGGGGAAUAUUGCGCAAUGGACGAAAGUCUGACGCAGCGACGCCUCGUGAGGGACGAAGGUCUUCGGACUGUAAACCUCUUUCAGCAGGGACGAAGCGAAAGUGACGGUACCUGCAGAAGAAGCACCGGCUAACUAUGUGCCAGCAGCCGCGGUAAUACAUAGGGUGCAAGCGUUGUCCGGAUUUAUUGGGCGUAAAGAGUUCGUAGGCGGUUUUUCGCGUCGGAUGUGAAAACUCAGGGCUCAACCCUGAGCCUGCAUUCGAUACGGGAAGACUCGAGGACGGCAGGGGAGACUGGAACUUCUGGUGUAGCGGUGGAAUGCGCAGAUAUCAGAAAGAACACCAAUGGCGAAGGCAGGUCUC